UCUCCUGGAGAACUUUUUACUAAAAGCGUUAAAGUCGUUUUUAAAUCUCACUUUCCCCGAAAAGCCCACUACUCCAAACAUCUCUGCUCCCAGCCUGCCCCCACCUGGUCCCUCCCCUGGAGCCCCAAGGCUCAGGCAGCGCUGGGUCUGCCCACCUCCCUGCCUCCCUCUGAUUGGCUAAUUUUCCCUUCUCUUCCUAACGCUGCUUUCGCCUGUUGGGUUUGUUGGGCUCCCAGUCCUCCUGCCUCAGUUACAAAAAAAGACCAAAGUGCCCUGGAAAGAUGAACCAUCCUAUAGAGAACAGCAGUCCUGGAGAAUGACUGUGUCUGCCGUGGACUUUUUGCAUGAAAGAAGAAAUGCAGCCUUCCUGGGACCACCAUGCUGUGAGAAUGUCAGGCUGCAUGACAGGCCCUGGAGGAUACGACACUACCUGGGAAGAAAGAAACCAAGGAAUGUUAAAUGUGCCGGACAUUUGAGUACAAAGUCCUUUGGGUAGUGGGUCCUCCGUCUAGAACAGAGAUAAACCAUUCAGCCAAGCCCUCCACACAUUCCUCACCUGCAAAAUCAUGAGCAAAAUAAAAGGUGGUUUUAAACCAUUCAGUAUUGGGGCAUUUUGUUUCCUAGCUACAGAUCACCAGAACGCUGAAUAAUAAAUAUUUUACAGUGACCAACAAUUGUUUUUUGUUUUUUUUUUUAAUUUUUUUUUAACGUUUAUUUAUUUUUGAGACAGAGAGAGACAGAGCAUGAACAGGGGAGGGGCAGAGAGAGAGGGAGACACAGAAUCCGAAACAGGCUCCAGGCUCUGAGCUGUCAGCACAGAGCCCGACGCGGGGCUCGAACUCACGGAUGGUGAGAUCAUGACCUGAGCCGAAGUCGGCUGCCCAACCGACCAAGCCACCCAGGCGCCCCAACAAUUGUU
Molecule: long non-coding RNA, 919 nt
Organism: Acinonyx jubatus (cheetah)
Lineage: Eukaryota; Metazoa; Chordata; Mammalia; Carnivora; Felidae
Exons: 3
Source: RefSeq, a predicted model, not a curated record